This 500-nucleotide ribosomal RNA is filed under the name uncultured bacterium. RNAcentral describes it as "partial 16S ribosomal RNA". It matches the Rfam family "Bacterial small subunit ribosomal RNA", at positions 29 to 523 of the family's 1533-position model. The record is from RNAcentral.
AUUGAACGCUGGCGGCAUGCCUUACACAUGCAAGUCGAACGGCAGCACGGGAGCAAUCCUGGUGGCGAGUGGCGAACGGGUGAGUAAUAUAUCGGAACGUGCCCAGUCGUGGGGGAUAACGCAGCGAAAGCUGUGCUAAUACCGCAUACGAUCUACGGAUGAAAGCGGGGGAUCGCAAGACCUCGCGCGAUUGGAGCGGCCGAUAUCAGAUGAGCGAGUUGGUGAGGUAAAGGCUCACCAAGGCGACGAUCUGUAGCUGGUCUGAGAGGACGACCAGCCACACUAGAACGGGGGAACGGUCCAGACUCCUACGGGAGGCGGCAGUGGGGAAUUUUGGACAAUGGGCGAAAGCCUGAUCCAGCAAUGCCGCGUGCAGGAUGAAGGCCUUCGGGUUGUAAACUGCUUUUGUACGGAACGAAACGGUGAGCUCUAAUACAGUUUGCUAAUGACGGUACCGAAAGAAUAAGCACCGGCUAACUACGUGCCAGCAGCCGCCGUAA